Molecule: ribosomal RNA, 1238 nt
Filed under: Salmonella enterica
Lineage: Bacteria; Pseudomonadati; Pseudomonadota; Gammaproteobacteria; Enterobacterales; Enterobacteriaceae
Description: partial 23S ribosomal RNA
Rfam family: Bacterial large subunit ribosomal RNA
Source: RNAcentral
UUAAUGAGGCGAACCGGAGGAACUGAAACAUCUAAGUACCCCGAGGAAAAGAAAUCAACCGAGAUUCCCCCAGUAGCGGCGAGCGAACGGGGAGGAGCCCAGAGCCUGAAUCAGCAUGUGUGUUAGUGGAAGCGUCUGGAAAGGCGCGCGAUACAGGGUGACAGCCCCGUACACAAAAGCGCAUGUGCUGUGAGCUCGAUGAGUAGGGCGGGACACGUGGUAUCCUGUCUGAAUAUGGGGGGACCAUCCUCCAAGGCUAAAUACUCCUGACUGACCGAUAGUGAACCAGUACCGUGAGGGAAAGGCGAAAAGAACCCCGGCGAGGGGAGUGAAAAAGAACCUGAAACCGUGUACGUACAAGCAGUGGGAGCACAGGUUUACCUGUGUGACUGCGUACCUUUUGUAUAAUGGGUCAGCGACUUAUAUUCUGUAGCAAGGUUAACCGUAUAGGGGAGCCGGAGGGAAACCGAGUCUUAACCGGGCGUUAAGUUGCAGGGUAUAGACCCGAAACCCGGUGAUCUAGCCAUGGGCAGGUUGAAGGUUGGGUAACACUAACUGGAGGACCGAACCGACUAAUGUUGAAAAAUUAGCGGAUGACCUGUGGCUGGGGGUGAAAGGCCAAUCAAACCGGGAGAUAGCUGGUUCUCCCCGAAAGCUAUUUAGGUAGCGCCUCGUGAAUUCAUCUCCGGGGGUAGAGCACUGUUUCGGCUAGGGGGCCAUCCCGGCUUACCAACCCGAUGCAAACUGCGAAUACCGGAGAAUGUUAUCACGGGAGACACACGGCGGGUGCUAACGUCCGUCGUGAAGAGGGAAACAACCCAGACCGCCAGCUAAGGUCCCAAAGUCAUGGUUAAGUGGGAAACGAUGUGGGAAGGCCCAGACAGCCAGGAUGUUGGCUUAGAAGCAGCCAUCAUUUAAAGAAAGCGUAAUAGCUCACUGGUCGAGUCGGCCUGCGCGGAAGAUGUAACGGGGCUAAACCAUGCACCGAAGCUGCGGCAGCGACACUCAGGUGUUGUUGGGUAGGGGAGCGUUCUGUAAGCCUGUGAAGGUGGCCUGUGAGGGUUGCUGGAGGUAUCAGAAGUGCGAAUGCUGACAUAAGUAACGAUAAAGCGGGUGAAAAGCCCGCUCGCCGGAAGACCAAGGGUUCCUGUCCAACGUUAAUCGGGGCAGGGUGAGUCGACCCCUAAGGCGAGGCCGAAAGGCGUAGUCGAUGGGAAACGGGUUAAUAUUCCCGUACU